UGUAUUCACUACUGUAAGUCGCUCUGGAUAAGAGCGUCUGCUAAUGUCUAAAA
Non-coding RNA from Salmo salar (Atlantic salmon), 53 nucleotides. The record is from Rfam. Lineage: Eukaryota; Metazoa; Chordata; Actinopteri; Salmoniformes; Salmonidae.